CCUUGAACCGCAUGGUUCAAGGAUGAAAGACGGUUUCGGCUGUCACUUACAGAUGGACCCGCGGCGCAUUAGCUAGUUGGUGAGGUAACGGCUCACCAAGGCGACGAUGCGUAGCCGACCUGAGAGGGUGAUCGGCCACACUGGGACUGAGACACGGCCCAGACUCCUACGGGAGGCAGCAGUAGGGAAUCUUCCGCAAUGGACGAAAGUCUGACGGAGCAACGCCGCGUGAGUGAUGAAGGUUUUCGGAUCGUAAAGCUCUGUUGUUAGGGAAGAACAAGUGCAAGAGUAACUGCUUGCACCUUGACGGUACCUAACCAGAAAGCCACGGCUAACUACGUGCCAGCAGCCGCGGUAAUACGUAGGUGGCAAGCGUUGUCCGGAAUUAUUGGGCGUAAAGGGCUCGCAGGCGGUUUCUUAAGUCUGAUGUGAAAGCCCCCGGCUCAACCGGGGAGGGUCAUUGGAAACUGGGAAACUUGAGUGCAGAAGAGGAGAGUGGAAUUCCACGUGUAGCGGUGAAAUGCGUAGAGAUGUGGAGGAACACCAGUGGCGAAGGCGACUCUCUGGUCUGUAACUGACGCUGAGGAGCGAAAGCGUGGGGAGCGAACAGGAUUAGAUACCCUGGUAGUCCACGCCGUAAACGAUGAGUGCUAAGUGUUAGGGGGUUUCCGCCCCUUAGUGCUGCAGCUAACGCAUUAAGCACUCCGCCUGGGGAGUACGGUCGCAAGACUGAAACUCAAAGGAAUUGACGGGGGCCCGCACAAGCGGUGGAGCAUGUGGUUUAAUUCGAAGCAACGCGAAGAACCUUACCAGGUCUUGACAUCCUCUGACAACCCUAGAGAUAGGGCUUUCCCUUCGGGGACAGAGUGACAGGUGGUGCAUGGUUGUCGUCAGCUCGUGUCGUGAGAUGUUGGGUUAAGUCCCGCAACGAGCGCAACCCUUGAUCUUAGUUGCCAGCAUUCAGUUGGGCACUCUAAGGUGACUGCCGGUGACAAACCGGAGGAAGGUGGGGAUGACGUCAAAUCAUCAUGCCCCUUAUGACCUGGGCUACACACGUGCUACAAUGGACAGAACAAAGGGCUGCGAGACCGCAAGGUUUAGCCAAUCCCACAAAUCUGUUCUCAGUUCGGAUCGCAGUCUGCAACUCGACUGCGUGAAGCUGGAAUCGCUAGUAAUCGCGGAUCAGCAUGCCGCGGUGAAUACG
This 1204-nucleotide ribosomal RNA is filed under the name uncultured Bacillus sp. RNAcentral describes it as "bacterial SSU rRNA". It matches the Rfam family "Bacterial small subunit ribosomal RNA", at positions 179 to 1370 of the family's 1533-position model. Lineage: Bacteria; Bacillati; Bacillota; Bacilli; Caryophanales; Bacillaceae. The record is from RNAcentral.